GUGAUCUAGUGUAAUUUUUUCCAUAAAGCUACAAGUUGAGUUAAAGGAAAAAAGUGGAUUUUUUAGAACAACACAUAACAGUUCAUGUGAUUUAUCAUACAAAUUUAUUAAACUGUACAUCAGUAAACAACCUAUUUUGGAGGUAGGAUAUCAUGAAAGAGUGUUGUACUGGUGGGAAUUUUCCAAAAGUGGAUUGGCAACACUGAUU
This is a long non-coding RNA of Homalodisca vitripennis (glassy-winged sharpshooter), 208 nucleotides long. RefSeq lists it as uncharacterized. Lineage: Eukaryota; Metazoa; Arthropoda; Insecta; Hemiptera; Cicadellidae. The record is from RefSeq and is a predicted model, not a curated record. The transcript has 2 exons.